RNAcentral lists this ribosomal RNA (253 nucleotides) under uncultured bacterium. RNAcentral describes it as "partial 16S ribosomal RNA". It matches the Rfam family "Bacterial small subunit ribosomal RNA", at positions 524 to 776 of the family's 1533-position model. The record is from RNAcentral.
UACGUAGGGUCCGAGCGUUGUCCGGAAUUAUUGGGCGUAAAGGGCUCGUAGGCGGUCCGUCACGUCGGGAGUGAAAACUCAGGGCUCAACCCUGAGCGUGCUUCCGAUACGGGCGGACUAGAGGUAUGCAGGGGAGAACGGAAUUCCUGGUGUAGCGGUGGAAUGCGCAGAUAUCAGGAGGAACACCGGUGGCGAAGGCGGUUCUCUAGUACGGUACUGACGCUGAGACGCGAAAGCGUGGGGAGCGAACAGG